RNAcentral lists this ribosomal RNA (2915 nucleotides) under Vibrio parahaemolyticus. Its description in RNAcentral is "bacterial LSU rRNA". It matches the Rfam family "Bacterial large subunit ribosomal RNA". The record is from RNAcentral. Lineage: Bacteria; Pseudomonadati; Pseudomonadota; Gammaproteobacteria; Vibrionales; Vibrionaceae.
GUUGUAUGGUUAAGUGACUAAGCGUACACGGUGGAUGCCUUGGCAGUCAGAGGCGAUGAAAGACGUAGUAACUUGCGAUAAGCCCAGAUUAGGUAGUAACAACCAUUUGAGUCUGGGAUUUCUGAAUGGGGAAACCCACKURCAUAAGYAMGUAUCMUUAMCUGAAUACAUAGGKUAAKGAGGCGAACCGGGGGAACUGAAACAUCUAAGUACCCCGAGGAAAAGAAAUCAACCGAGAUUCCGAAAGUAGCGGCGAGCGAAAUUGGACUAGCCCUUAAGCUUUACACGCGUUAGACGAACGGUCUGGAAAGUCCGACGAUACAGGGUGAUAGUCCCGUAGUUGACGACGUGUGUUCAGUGAAAUCGAGUAGGGCGGGACACGUGAUAUCCUGUCUGAAUAUGGGGGGACCAUCCUCCAAGGCUAAAUACUACUGACUGACCGAUAGUGAACCAGUACCGUGAGGGAAAGGCGAAAAGAACCCCUGUGAGGGGAGUGAAAUAGAACCUGAAACCGUGUACGUACAAGCAGUAGGAGCAGGCUUGUCCUGUGACUGCGUACCUUUUGUAUAAUGGGUCAGCGACUUAUAUUCAGUGGCAAGGUUAACCAUCUAGGGGAGCCGUAGGGAAACCGAGUCUUAACUGGGCGUUCAGUCUCUGGAUAUAGACCCGAAACCAGGUGAUCUAGCCAUGGGCAGGUUGAAGGUUGAGUAACAUCAACUGGAGGACCGAACCGACUAAUGUUGAAAAAUUAGCGGAUGACUUGUGGCUAGGGGUGAAAGGCCAAUCAAACCUGGAGAUAGCUGGUUCUCCCCGAAAGCUAUUUAGGUAGCGCCUCGGACGAAUACUACUGGGGGUAGAGCACUGUUAAGGCUAGGGGGUCAUCCCGACUUACCAACCCUUUGCAAACUCCGAAUACCAGUAAGUACUAUCCGGGAGACACACGGCGGGUGCUAACGUCCGUCGUGGAGAGGGAAACAACCCAGACCGCCAGCUAAGGUCCCAAAUUACUACUAAGUGGGAAACGAUGUGGGAAGGCUCAGACAGCCAGGAUGUUGGCUUAGAAGCAGCCAUCAUUUAAAGAAAGCGUAAUAGCUCACUGGUCGAGUCGGCCUGCGCGGAAGAUGUAACGGGGCUAAGUAGUAAACCGAAGCUGCGGCAAURURCUUUUGYAYAUUGGGUAGGGGAGCGUUCUGUAAGCGGUUGAAGGUGUGUGGUAACGCAUGCUGGACGUAUCAGAAGUGCGAAUGCUGACAUGAGUAACGAUAAAGGGGGUGAAAAACCUCCUCGCCGGAAGACCAAGGGUUCCUGUCCAACGUUAAUCGGGGCAGGGUAAGUCGACCCCUAAGGCGAGGCCGAAAGGCGUAGUCGAUGGGAAACGGGUUAAUAUUCCCGUACUUCUUACAAUUGCGAUGGGGGGACGGAGAAGGCUAGGUGGGCCUGGCGACGGUUGUCCAGGUUCAAGUGCGUAGGCUUAAGAGUUAGGUAAAUCCGGCUCUUUUUAAGGCUGAGACACGACGUCGAGCUACUACGGUAGUGAAGUCAUUGAUGCCAUGCUUCCAGGAAAAGCCUCUAAGCUUCAGAUUGUAAGGAAUCGUACCCCAAACCGACACAGGUGGUCGGGUAGAGAAUACCAAGGCGCUUGAGAGAACUCGGGUGAAGGAACUAGGCAAAAUGGUACCGUAACUUCGGGAGAAGGUACGCUCUYGAYGGUGAAGUCCCUCGCGGAUGGAGCURWYGAGAGUCGCAGAUACCAGGUGGCUGCAACUGUUUAUUAAAAACACAGCACUGUGCAAAAUCGUAAGAUGACGUAUACGGUGUGACGCCUGCCCGGUGCCGGAAGGUUAAUUGAUGGGGUUAGACUUCGGUCGAAGCUCUUGAUCGAAGCCCCGGUAAACGGCGGCCGUAACUAUAACGGUCCUAAGGUAGCGAAAUUCCUUGUCGGGUAAGUUCCGACCUGCACGAAUGGCGUAAUGAUGGCCACGCUGUCUCCACCCGAGACUCAGUGAAAUUGAAAUCGCUGUGAAGAUGCAGUGUACCCGCGGCUAGACGGAAAGACCCCGUGAACCUUUACUACAGCUUGGCACUGAACAUUGACCCUACAUGUGUAGGAUAGGUGGGAGGCUUUGAAGCACGUACGCCAGUAUGUGUGGAGCCGUCCUUGAAAUACCACCCUUGUAGUGUUGAUGUUCUAACGUCGACCCCUUAUCGGGGUUGCGGACAGUGCCUGGUGGGUAGUUUGACUGGGGCGGUCUCCUCCCAAAGAGUAACGGAGGAGCACGAAGGUGGGCUAAUCACGGUUGGACAUCGUGAGGUUAGUGCAAUGGCAUAAGCCCGCUUGACUGCGAGAAUGACAAUUCGAGCAGGUGCGAAAGCAGGUCAUAGUGAUCCGGUGGUUCUGAAUGGAAGGGCCAUCGCUCAACGGAUAAAAGGUACUCCGGGGAUAACAGGCUGAUACCGCCCAAGAGUUCAUAUCGACGGCGGUGUUUGGCACCUCGAUGUCGGCUCAUCACAUCCUGGGGCUGAAGUCGGUCCCAAGGGUAUGGCUGUUCGCCAUUUAAAGUGGUACGCGAGCUGGGUUUAGAACGUCGUGAGACAGUUCGGUCCCUAUCUGCCGUGGGCGUUGGAAGAUUGAAGGGGGCUGCUCCUAGUACGAGAGGACCGGAGUGGACGAACCUCUGGUGUUCGGGUUGUGUCGCCAGACGCAUUGCCCGGUAGCUAAGUUCGGAAUCGAUAACCGCUGAAAGCAUCUAAGCGGGAAGCGAGCCCUGAGAUGAGUCUUCCCUGAUACUUUAAGUAUCCUAAAGGGUUGUCGGAGACUACGACGUUGAUAGGUCAGGUGUGUAAGUGCUGUGAGGCAUUGAGCUAACUGAUACUAAUUGCCCGUGAGGCUUAACCAUACAACACCCAAGGGGUUU